Molecule: long non-coding RNA, 938 nt
Filed under: Scleropages formosus (Asian bonytongue)
Lineage: Eukaryota; Metazoa; Chordata; Actinopteri; Osteoglossiformes; Osteoglossidae
Description: lncRNA (ENSSFOG00015032375.1)
Source: RNAcentral
CUUUGCCGAAGCCGGCAUUCACUUGUACUCUCGCUGUACAGAAAUUCCUUAAUUCGGCUCCAUCUGCGUACGCUGUGACCGGAGCCUGUUGCACCUGUUCAACCUCCGCUCCAGCCUUUGGACCACAGGCGGUUGAUGUGAAUGCCAUGUGUCCCUCCAAUAACCAAAGCAAGAAUGGAGCCGGUGUCAUGGGUGGCCGAGAGAACCGGAACGGCAGGACCCACGUGCGGAGUUGUUCAAUUGGAUGCAGGGGAUCAGACAAGUUCUCGGUGUCGGGGACAGGUGAAUGGUCGGUCGAUCGGUGGUCGGGAUCAGAGCGGGGAUCCAUGGGCGAAGUCAGGAGAGAAAGCGAAGAGUCAGUCGAUCGGCGGUCGGCGUUGAAACGAAGAUCCGCGGACGUGGUCGGGAGACAAGGCAAAGGGACGAAAACCAGAGGACGAGAACUGAGAACGAGGGUUGAGUGUGCACUGGACGUCACGAAGGAGGGCGGUUGUCUUUGACGAGAUUCCACAAAGGUCUGGGAGCUGAGGAGGGUCUUUAAAAAGGGUGCGUAGUUAAUCAGGUGCUGGAGCAGAGUCAGGUGCUGUCGGUUUAGUUGUGGGGGUGGACAUGACAGUUGGAGAGAGGAAAAGUGACCCCACUAUUGUUGUUCUUUAAAUCUCAUUUCCUUGGUGUGUAAGAUCAUGAAAUGUUCAAUCAUAGGUGUGAAAAAGUAAUCGCAGUCUACUGGCUGUGUCACCUUUAGCUGCUAUGACUGCAACUAACCUCUUCCUGUAGCUGUUGACCAGGGUCUCUCACCGCUGCGGUGGAACUUGAGCCCGCUGCUCCAUGCAAAACUGCUUCAGCUAGCAAUAUUUGUAGGUUUCCAAGAUGUCUAUCAUAUAUGGGAUUCUUUGAUGCAUUUGAGGUUAAGUGUAACAAGGAGCGGCACCGCACAA